This 274-nucleotide long non-coding RNA is filed under the name Medicago truncatula (barrel medic). RNAcentral's name for it is "lncRNA gene48226". The stretch from base 35 to 98 matches the Rfam family "MIR2629 microRNA precursor family". The record is from RNAcentral. Lineage: Eukaryota; Viridiplantae; Streptophyta; Magnoliopsida; Fabales; Fabaceae.
GGUUUGAGGUUUCCUCGGCAGUUAACUGCUGAAGUUUUCAGUUUUCCUCGGUAGUUAACUGCCGAAGUUUUCCUCGGCAAUUAACUGCCGAGGGGUAUUUGAGUAAUUUACUCGUGUGGCACAGCCAAACCAAAAGUGGGAACAACAAUUCUCAAUGAAAAAUAGGACAUCUCCCCCUUUAGGGUUAUUUUAUUUAGGGUUAAUUAUGUUUUCGGUCUCUACAAAAUUGCGAUCUUGUAAGUUUACUCCUUAUUUAAUUUUAAUAGUGUUCUAA